Molecule: ribosomal RNA, 87 nt
Filed under: Gentianella sp. US:3560687
Lineage: Eukaryota; Viridiplantae; Streptophyta; Magnoliopsida; Gentianales; Gentianaceae
Description: partial 5.8S ribosomal RNA
Rfam family: 5.8S ribosomal RNA
About the family: 5.8S ribosomal RNA (5.8S rRNA) is a component of the large subunit of the eukaryotic ribosome. It is transcribed by RNA polymerase I as part of the 45S precursor that also contains 18S and 28S rRNA. Functionally, it is thought that 5.8S rRNA may be involved in ribosome translocation.
Source: RNAcentral
UGCAGAAUCCCGUGAAUCAUCGAGUCUUUGAACGCAAGUUGCGCCCGAGGCCAUUAGGCUGAGGGCACGUCUGCCUGGGCGUCACGC